This 1483-nucleotide ribosomal RNA is filed under the name uncultured bacterium. RNAcentral describes it as "bacterial SSU rRNA". It matches the Rfam family "Bacterial small subunit ribosomal RNA". The record is from RNAcentral.
AGAGUUUGAUCAUGGCUCAGGAUGAACGCUGGCGGCGUGCUUAACACAUGCAAGUCGAACGAUGAAGACCGUGCUUGCACGGUUGGAUUAGUGGCGAACGGGUGAGUAUCACGUGAGUAACCUUCCCUUGACUCUGGGAUAAGCCCGGGAAACUGGGUCUAAUACCGGAUACGACCAGUCCUCGCAUGGGGUGCUGGUGGAAAGAUUUAUCGGUCUUGGAUGGACUCGCGGCCUAUCAGCUUGUUGGUGAGGUAAUGGCUCACCAAGGCGAUGACGGGUAGCCGGCCUGAGAGGGUGACCGGCCACACUGGGACUGAGACACGGCCCAGACUCCUACGGGAGGCAGCAGUGGGGAAUAUUGCACAAUGGGCGAAAGCCUGAUGCAGCGACGCCGCGUGCGGGAUGACGGCCUUCGGGUCGUAAACCGCUUUCAGCAGGGAAGAAGCGAAAGUGACGGUACCUGCAGAAGAAGCGCCGGCUAACUACGUGCCAGCAGCCGCGGUAAUACGUAGGGCGCGAGCGUUAUCCGGAAUUAUUGGGCGUAAAGAGCUCGUAGGCGGUUUGUCACGUCUGCUGUGAAAGCCCGAGGCUCAACCUCGGGUGUGCAGUGGGUACGGGCAGACUAGAGUGCAGUAGGGGAGACUGGAAUUCCUGGUGUAGCGGUGAAAUGCGCAGAUAUCAGGAGGAACACCGAUGGCGAAGGCAGGUCUCUGGGCUGUUACUGACGCUGAGGAGCGAAAGCAUGGGGAGCGAACAGGAUUAGAUACCCUGGUAGUCCAUGCCGUAAACGUUGGGCACUAGGUGUGGGGGACAUUCCACGUUUUCCGCGCCGUAGCUAACGCAUUAAGUGCCCCGCCUGGGGAGUACGGCCGCAAGGCUAAAACUCAAAGGAAUUGACGGGGGCCCGCACAAGCGGCGGAGCAUGCGGAUUAAUUCGAUGCAACGCGAAGAACCUUACCAAGGCUUGACAUGGACCGGAUCGCUGCAGAGAUGCAGUUUCCCUUCGGGGUCGGUUCACAGGUGGUGCAUGGUUGUCGUCAGCUCGUGUCGUGAGAUGUUGGGUUAAGUCCCGCAACGAGCGCAACCCCUAUCCUAUGUUGCCAGCACGUGAUGGUGGGGACUCAUGGGAGACUGCCGGGGUCAACUCGGAGGAAGGUGGGGACGACGUCAAAUCAUCAUGCCCCUUAUGUCUUGGGCUUCACGCAUGCUACAAUGGCCGGUACAAUGGGUUGCGAUACUGUGAGGUGGAGCUAAUCCCUAAAAGCCGGUCUCAGUUCGGAUCGAAGUCUGCAACUCGACUUCGUGAAGUUGGAGUCGCUAGUAAUCGCAGAUCAGCAACGCUGCGGUGAAUACGUUCCCGGGCCUUGUACACACCGCCCGUCAAGUCACGAAAGUGGGUAACACCCGAAGCCGGUGGCCUAACCCUUGUGGGGGGAGCCGUCGAAGGUGGGACUCGCGAUUGGGACUAAGUCGUAACAAGGUA